UUCUCUAGCGAUCGAAUUCCCGAAACAACAAAGGAAGGAAUUUGGAAUCGAAGGAUCUGGAAUCAGAGGAAGGGGUUUGGAAUCGAAUCGGCUAAAAACCUAAAUAGCUUCACCGCCGUUUGUUAUUCUUUCUCCGCGCCGUGUUCUCUAUAAUCUCAGGUGAUAAGGAUCAAAAUGGAGCUCAGUUCAGAAGAUAACAAUCUUGUUUUGCCUCCUGUUGAGCAGGGGUGAGUUUUAAGGAAUAGAGCAAUAGAAGAUCAAGAGAAGGUUUCAAUAACUUGGGAGACUUGCGUCCAAACACGCUUUGACUUUGUGGAUAGGUUCUAUCGCACUUUUUCUCUGUAAAAUCGGAAUCUCAAAAUCUCAUCAAAUUUAUUACGACAGAGGGAGGGAAUGGAAUCUUCCAGCACAUUCGUUGUUCAUUAUAACUUUUCAUACAUUUGUCAACAUAUCGAGUGAUCCACUUGUGUUAAACUCUUUCUAGCAGAUUUACUUCUCCUAGCUUACAAAUACAUUUUUAUUUGCUAAUCAUUGUCUAUAAGCCUUAACAAGAAACCAAGGAUUACGUAACAAC
This is a long non-coding RNA of Camelina sativa (false flax), 574 nucleotides long. RefSeq lists it as uncharacterized. The record is from RefSeq and is a predicted model, not a curated record. NCBI's taxonomy places the organism in Eukaryota, Viridiplantae, Streptophyta, Magnoliopsida, Brassicales, Brassicaceae.